AUUGAACGCUGGCGGAAUGCUUUACACAUGCAAGUCGAGCGGCAGCGCGGGGGCAACCCUGGCGGCGAGCGGCGAACGGGUGAGUAAUACAUCGGAACGUGUCCUUAAGUGGGGGAUAGCUCGGCGAAAGCCGGAUUAAUACCGCAUAAGCUCUGAGGAGGAAAGCGGGGGCUCCGUAAGGACCUCGCGCUGUUGGAGCGGCCGAUGUCGGAUUAGCUAGUUGGUGGGGUAAAGCCCACCAAGGCGACGAUCCGUAGCUGGUCUGAGAGGAUGAUCAGCCACACUGGAACUGAGACACGGUCCAGACUCCUACGGGAGGCAGCAGUGGGGAAUUUUGGACAAUGGGGGCAACCCUGAUCCAGCCAUUCCGCGUGAGUGAAGAA
RNAcentral lists this ribosomal RNA (383 nucleotides) under uncultured bacterium. RNAcentral's name for it is "bacterial SSU rRNA". It matches the Rfam family "Bacterial small subunit ribosomal RNA", at positions 29 to 412 of the family's 1533-position model. The record is from RNAcentral.